Gigantopelta aegis is the source of this 754-nucleotide long non-coding RNA. RefSeq lists it as uncharacterized. Lineage: Eukaryota; Metazoa; Mollusca; Gastropoda; Neomphalida; Peltospiridae. The record is from RefSeq and is a predicted model, not a curated record. The transcript is spliced from 3 exons.
GCUAUGUCCCAGACACGUGCUGUAAGGGCGUGCCGGGCGUGGUCCCCUACAAGGCUGCUAACAUGACGGAGUGUGGACGGGAAGCAGCACCACAGUCACCGAUACCUCCUGAUGACAGGACGCAACUUCGCUCAAGGGGGUGUUUCCAAGCUAUUAUCACGUGGCUAGAAAAUCGAAGUGUCAUUCUUAUAUGCGUCGUAAUAGGAAUAACUAUAAUUGAGAUUCUAGGCAUUAUAUUCGCUGUUUGCCUGUGUCGAAAUAGGACAGAAUAUUACGAGUAGCUGGUCUAGCUAAAUCUAAGAAUCAGGACAUAUUGUUUUUAAUUCCAACAUACCACCGAAGUUGUUUUAAUCUGUGUGAUGAAGUUUUAUAAUGGAAUGCAAGACACAUCUUUGGAAGUAUAUAUUCUUAAGUUAAGUUAUCGUUGAAUCAACACCAAUACUUAAAGAGGAUUUCUUUCUAAUGGGUUGAAAAGGGAGAGUGUACAGUUUUAUUGCAAUCACCUUCGCUGCACAUAUUGUACACAAACGUAAUACAUCUAAAGUCAAUGUUUGCUAAAGCAAAAAGAAAAACCUCCAAAGUAAACAAAAACCUCCAAAGUAAACAAAAACCUCCAAAGGGUGAAUGCGUGUGUAUUCCCUUCCUUGGUCCUCCCAUGACAAGAUAUUAUUGCAGUGUGUUUGUUCAAGUUUAUAAAAAACACAUUCACCUUUAUCAAAAGUUCUGACCUAAGUUAGUAAACGUAUUCAAGAAA